ACGCAGAGGAUCUCGCAUAUGACAGACGUCAAAACCAAUUAUCCAAGCACAAAGUUAUAGAACAAGGGUGAUUGAUAGGCAUGUAUUCAGACAUUGUAACUAUAUAGCUAGGGCAUUUAAGAUAUGUGUUAGACAGGAACAGCAAUCUCAUCUAGCAUAUGCCCAAAUUUGAUCUUUAUGUGACUUCCUAUAAUGCAAGUCCAAAAUUAGUGGAUACACUAUAAAGUUAAAGUGAACCACUGUUCUAGUUGCUAAUCCAAGUCCAAAGGCUCUGAAGUCUGAACUUCCAGCUCAGAUACAGACAUGCAGUAUAAGCAAAAAACAAACAGACAAAACUGCAGGGUGACACACACCAUACAAUGGUUAUGCAGGUUAAGGUUAAAAGGUAGAAGUGAUGAGAAAUUAUGCAUCCAAUUGAUUAGAUUAUUGAAAGGGAGGUAGCUCAAUGAUUGAUAGUAACAACUGAAACAUCUAAAUUUUGAUAUACGGAUCACUGCAAACAAUUUAUCAGCCCAUGAUAUAUGCAGCGUUCAGCUUUAUUAUGUCAGCAAUACCUUAAGAAAAGGAUAUGAAGAAAAGGAGAUCGACAGUGAGCGGUGGAUGUACAAUGGGUACAAAAUGCCAAGGUUGCAGUAUCAAUAUCCAUACACAUCACAAGAAA
Long non-coding RNA from Populus euphratica (Euphrates poplar), 661 nucleotides. RefSeq lists it as uncharacterized. The record is from RefSeq and is a predicted model, not a curated record. NCBI's taxonomy places the organism in Eukaryota, Viridiplantae, Streptophyta, Magnoliopsida, Malpighiales, Salicaceae. The transcript has 2 exons.